This 252-nucleotide ribosomal RNA is filed under the name uncultured bacterium. RNAcentral's name for it is "partial 16S ribosomal RNA". It matches the Rfam family "Bacterial small subunit ribosomal RNA", at positions 524 to 776 of the family's 1533-position model. The record is from RNAcentral.
UACGUAGGUCCCGAGCGUUGUCCGGAUUUAUUGGGCGUAAAGCGAGCGCAGGUGGUUCAUUAAGUCUGGUGUAAAAGGCAGUGGCUCAACCAUUGUAUGCAUUGGAAACUGGUAGACUUGAGUGCAGGAGAGGAGGGUGGAAUUCCAUGUGUAGCGGUGAAAUGCGUAGAUAUAUGGAGGAACACCGGUGGCGAAAGCGGCUCUCUGGCCUGUAACUGACACUGAGGCUCGAAAGCGUGGGGAGCAAACAGG